This 497-nucleotide ribosomal RNA is filed under the name uncultured bacterium. Its description in RNAcentral is "partial 16S ribosomal RNA". It matches the Rfam family "Bacterial small subunit ribosomal RNA", at positions 28 to 507 of the family's 1533-position model. The record is from RNAcentral.
GACGAACGCUGGCGGCGUGCCUAAUACAUGCAAGUUUAGCGAUGAAGAUUGGUGCUUGCACCAAUUUGAAGAGCAGCGAACGGGUGAGUAACGCGUGGGGAAUCUGCCUUUGAGCGGGGGACAACAUUUGGAAACGAAUGCUAAUACCGCAUAACAACUUUAAACAUAAGUUUUAAGUUUGAAAGAUGCAAUUGCAUCACUCAAAGAUGAUCCCGCGUUGUAUUAGCUAGUUGGUGAGGUAAAGGCUCACCAAGGCGAUGAUACAUAGCCGACCUGAGAGGGUGAUCGGCCACAUUGGGACGGAGACACGGCCCAAACUCCUACGGGAGGCAGCAGUAGGGAAUCUUCGGCAAUGGACGAAAGUCUGGCCGAGCAACGCCGCGUGAGGGAAGAAGGUUUUCGGAUCGUAAAACUCUGUUGGUAGAGAAGAACGUUGGUGAGAGUGGAAAGCUCAUCAAGUGACGGUAACUACCCAGAAAGGGACGGCUAACUACGUG